Scylla paramamosain (green mud crab) is the source of this 1643-nucleotide long non-coding RNA. RefSeq lists it as uncharacterized. Lineage: Eukaryota; Metazoa; Arthropoda; Malacostraca; Decapoda; Portunidae. The record is from RefSeq and is a predicted model, not a curated record. The transcript has 4 exons.
CUCAGUAGUUGUUUAAGUGAUGGGGGAGUACGGAAGCAUCUCCUCCACCUCCCAGGAACAGAAAGGCAGUCGCGGUUGAUCCUCGAGUGUAUGAGGUGUGGCGACCUUCUCCUGACCCCGAUCUGGUGGUGUUGACAAGUGUAUGAGACUGGGAAUCACCAAUGAACUUACUCUUUAUUUUUUAUUCUUAAAGUGUGAAGAAGUUCGGAGACAAAAAAAUAAUAACUGAAAAAAGAAAAAUAGGUAAACGAGAAGAAAAGUUAUACAUAAACUUGCUCCUUAGAAAAAAAAGAGAAAAUAAAAAGAAAAGUGAAUAAAAAAGAAAAGGUUUUCUAAUCGUGCUGAUCAACUUUGGUAGUGUUGGAGGUGUGUUGAUACUCUUGUGAAUUAUUCCAAGUGAGCCUCCGCCGCGACACUCCCCACGUCUUCCACCCCUCGCGGCGACAGGGGGAAAAAAAGGUAACUACGCGGUGCAGCGAUGCCCCUACACCACCAGCAGGAGCAGUCGUGGCCAGGAAUCGGAUAACGUCCUGCCCUCACAUACAUUGCCUUGCGUUUUCCUCAGUCUCAAAUUCUCUGACCUGCUUAUUGUUGCCUAAAAAUCCGAUAAUUUGUGAUUUUAGCAUACUGGAGGACUUAAGAUUGAGAUAAAACGAUGAAGGCGGUGAAAGUGAAUGCAGCAGAAGUGAAAAGAAGAAAAAAGACAGUGAAAGUGAAUGCAGAGGAACAGAGAAAACGAUAAAGACAGUGAAAGUAAAUGCAGAAGAGAGAAAACGAAAAAGACCGUGAAAGUGAGUGCACAGGGAGAGAGAAAACGAUGAAGACAGUGAAAGUGAAUGCAGAAGAAGACUGUUACUUAAAAAUCCGAUAAUUCAAAGGUCUUUUAGCCGACUGGAUAAUUUAAGGCUGAAGAAAAACGAUAAAGACAAAGUAGGUACAGAAUGUUACUCUACUGAUAAUCAAAACCGUAUCUUGCAAAAUAGAUAAGUACAAAAAAUCGUGAGUAAAGGCUAUUCUACUUAUGGUAAAAAAAACAAAACAAACAAACAAACAAACUUACCUUAUAAAUGAAUAAGAGGCCACUUUCACUGCGAUAUGCAACGAUUCACAACACUAAAAAUAAUGUCUGAAAUCUUUAUAAACACCUAGAAGAGAGAGAGAGAGAGAGAGAGAGAGAGAGAGAGAGAGAGAGAGAGAGAGAGAGAGAGAGAGAGAGAGAGAGAAAAAAAAAAAAGAAUAUGUUUUGCAGUUUCUAACCAGUAUAAUAUUUGGAGGUAGUUGUAGAACGAGUAGAAAUAUUCCAGAGUAGUUAGUGAAUACUGGUAAAUGUACGAAUUAAUAGUGAAUGUGUUAAUGGAAAUGCCAAGAAAGUUUACCGCACGUGUUGCAACAAGGAGGGAACACGUGGGCCAAUCAACAGGCGGGAAUGUUGCCAGUGACAGUGUUAACAUGCUCGCGUGUCCUCAGCUGGCUGGAAUUAUUGUGGCAGGGCCCGUGACAAGGAUUAUAGUACCGGUGUGGCGUCGGCUGUGUUAAUGGCUGGGUUUUGUGUGGUGUCGUGAUAGUUUUAUGGCGUGUAUGUGUGUGUGUGUGUGAGGGAGAGAGAGGUAGAAGUGUGUGUGUGUGUGUGUGUGUGUGUGUGU